This 465-nucleotide ribosomal RNA is filed under the name uncultured bacterium. RNAcentral's name for it is "partial 16S ribosomal RNA". It matches the Rfam family "Bacterial small subunit ribosomal RNA", at positions 28 to 507 of the family's 1533-position model. The record is from RNAcentral.
GACGAACGCUGGCGGCGUGCUUAACACAUGCAAGUCGAACGGAAAGGCCCCUUCGGGGGUCCUCGAGUGGCGAACGGGUGAGUAACACGUGAGUAACCUGCCCUUGACUUCGGGAUAACUUCAGGAAACUGGGGCUAAUACCGGAUAGGAAUCCUUGCUGCAUGGUGGGGGUUGGAAAGCUUCGGCGGUUUUGGAUGGACUCGCGGCUUAUCAGCUUGUUGGUGGGGUAGUGGCUUACCAAGGCUUCGACGGGUAGCCGGCCUGAGAGGGCGACCGGCCACAUUGGGACUGAGAUACGGCCCAGACUCCUACGGGAGGCAGCAGUGGGGAAUAUUGCACAAUGGGCGGAAGCCUGAUGCAGCAACGCCGCGUGCGGGAUGACGGCCUUCGGGUUGUAAACCGCUUUCAGCAGGGGCGAAGCUUGUGGUGACGGUACCUGCAGAAGAAGCACCGGCUAACUACGUG